This 79-nucleotide non-coding RNA is filed under the name Roseicyclus elongatus. Lineage: Bacteria; Pseudomonadati; Pseudomonadota; Alphaproteobacteria; Rhodobacterales; Roseobacteraceae. RNAcentral also lists the same sequence under 1 other name. The record is from RNAcentral.
CCAUCGUGCCGUGGCGAUUUGUGAACCGGAUUGCGGGCCACGUUAAACAAACCGCUAAAGAGGUCGAGGAGAGCGCGCC